RNAcentral lists this ribosomal RNA (567 nucleotides) under uncultured bacterium. RNAcentral describes it as "partial 16S ribosomal RNA". It matches the Rfam family "Bacterial small subunit ribosomal RNA", at positions 355 to 914 of the family's 1533-position model. The record is from RNAcentral.
UGGGGAAUUUUGGACAAUGGGCGAAAGCCUGAUCCAGCAAUGCCGCGUGUGUGAAGAAGGCCUUCGGGUUGUAAAGCACUUUUGUCCGGAAAGAAAUCCUUGGCUCUAAUACAGUCGGGGGAUGACGGUACCGGAAGAAUAAGCACCGGCUAACUACGUGCCAGCAGCCGCGGUAAUACGUAGGGUGCAAGCGUUAAUCGGAAUUACUGGGCGUAAAGCGUGCGCAGGCGGUUUGCUAAGACCGAUGUGAAGUCCCCGGGCUCAACCUGGGAACUGCAUUGGUGACUGGCAGGCUAGAGUAUGGCAGAGGGGGGUAGAAUUCCACGUGUAGCAGUGAAAUGCGUAGAGAUGUGGAGGAAUACCGAUGGCGAAGGCAGCCCCCUGGGCCAAUACUGACGCUCAUGCACGAAAGCGUGGGGAGCAAACAGGAUUAGAUACCCUGGUAGUCCACGCCCUAAACGAUGUCAACUAGUUGUUGGGGAUUCAUUUCCUUAGUAACGUAGCUAACGCGUGAAGUUGACCGCCUGGGGGAGUACGGUCGCAAGAUUAAAACUUAAAUGAAUUGAC